RNAcentral lists this ribosomal RNA (372 nucleotides) under uncultured organism. RNAcentral's name for it is "bacterial SSU rRNA". It matches the Rfam family "Bacterial small subunit ribosomal RNA", at positions 526 to 896 of the family's 1533-position model. The record is from RNAcentral.
CGAACCACACAAACGUUAUUCGGAAUUACUGGGCUUAAAGGGUGCGUAGGCUGCGCAGAAAGUUGGGUGUGAAAUACCUCGGCUCAACCGAGGAACUGCGCCCAAAACUACUGUGCUCGAGGAAGAUAGAGGUAAGCGGAACUUACGGUGGAGCGGUGAAAUGCGUUGAUAUCGUAAGGAACACCUGUGGCGAAAGCGGCUUACUGGGUCUUUUCUGACGCUGAUGCACGAAAGCUAGGGGAGCAAACGGGAUUAGAUACCCCGGUAGUCCUAGCCGUAAACUAUGAGUACUGAAUUGAAGGGUCCCUCAUAGCCCUUCAGUUGUAGCGAAAGUGUUAAGUACUCCGCCUGGGGAGUAUGGUCGCAAGGCUG